UACGUAGGGUGCGAGCGUUGUCCGGAAUUAUUGGGCGUAAAGAGCUUGUAGGCGGUUUGUCGCGUCUGCUGUGAAAAUCCGGGGCUCAACCCCGGACUUGCAGUGGGUACGGGCAGACUAGAGUGUGGUAGGGGAGACUGGAAUUCCUGGUGUAGCGGUGAAAUGCGCAGAUAUCAGGAGGAACACCGAUGGCGAAGGCAGGCCUCUGGGCCACUACUGACGCUGAGGAGCGAAAGCAUGGGGAGCGAACAGG
This 253-nucleotide ribosomal RNA is filed under the name uncultured bacterium. RNAcentral describes it as "partial 16S ribosomal RNA". It matches the Rfam family "Bacterial small subunit ribosomal RNA", at positions 524 to 776 of the family's 1533-position model. The record is from RNAcentral.